Long non-coding RNA from Platichthys flesus (European flounder), 1521 nucleotides. RefSeq lists it as uncharacterized. The transcript has 4 exons. NCBI's taxonomy places the organism in Eukaryota, Metazoa, Chordata, Actinopteri, Pleuronectiformes, Pleuronectidae. The record is from RefSeq and is a predicted model, not a curated record.
GAUCAUAUGUAAUCCUUAAAGUUGCCUUGUAAUGUUUGCAUCUUAGUUUCUUUUAUCUUGUGCCCAAAUUAUUAUUGACUUCCCAAACCACAGAUUAGAUUAUGAUUAGAUGAAUUAAGCGUCAGUCUGGAAUGUACUCAAAGGGGAUUUCAUGAUUUAAAGUGCUGCUGCAAGAUGUCUGGCUCACACUUUGAAUUUUGAUUUGAUGUCUCAAACUGUCAAAAUAAAGUUCUUAGUGAAAUGAAUGCAACUAGUACAAAUUAUUAAUCAACCAAUAAUAAUCUUUCUGACGAGGGAACAUCUGCUCGCACGGACCACAGCCUUACGGAUGCCGAGGGGUUGUGCUCCAAGAAGAUAUGUGUCCCCAUCGACUGGAGUGAUCACAACAUAAUUAUAGCUAUAACCAGCAAAGUGAAGGCACCUUACGUGAAAACCAAGGUUUGUGUGAGCUGCAUGAACUGCACACGCACAUUUACUUUUAUGGCAAACGGCGACUCAAUGCUGGCAGAGUAUGGAAAAGAUGAGCUGGGAAACAACAUCAAACCCCAGAGAGGCUACAGAAAUCAGACGAAUAAACAACAUGGGCUAAAGCAGGAAGAAACACUAACGAUGCCAGGAAUGCUUCGCUGAAAUGAAAUUACCAGAUAUCCACUGUGUUGUUUUUGGAGGCCACAGGCUUCGUGCCAGCUGCCAAUGGAAUCUACUCUCACCUCCUGCUGCCCAGUGUGGAGAAAUCCCAAAGGCCACAGACUGAACAACAUCAGGACCCCCAAUCAUUAGCCGACCAGAAAUAUCCACUCAGCUCAGCAGGGGGCGCUUGCACUUAUAGAUAAUGAGUGACAGAGAAUAGAUGUCACGUUUAUCGUUGUUGUCUCAGUUGUGCUUUUCUAUUUCAUAUUUUUAAGGCUGGAACAUCAGGGGGUUCACUACAAUGCAGUGGCAAUGUGAAGUAAUCCUCUAGGUUAUUUAUUAACAGUCUAUAGUUCUGCAAUAUGGAGACUGUAAUGUGUCCACAUGGUUCAUACAUCUUCUGUUCACAUUUGUAACAUAAAGCUUGAGGCUAGCAGCGACAGCAGUGUUGUGAAUCUUGUAUCUGCUGAUGUUUCUCCAAUAAAAAACGAGUUGACUCAGGGUGUGAUGCAACAGGAAAGGCCAAGUAGACACUUCCCUGGGGCGUCAAGCUGAGAGAAGGCCUCAGAGAAAGAGGCUUAUCAUGUAAGUCCACAGCAAAAGCAAUUUUAUUAGAACCUCCUCAAGUUCUGUGAACAGGAGAAGCAACAACACCGCUGAUGGAACCCCGAACAAGGCCCACAUGCCAUUAGCUUUCUAUGGGUUGGUGGUGUGGGUUUGCACAACUUCACUAUGUUAUCAUCAUUUAUGAUAAUGUGUAUAAUGUGUAUUGAUACAAAAAUAGUAAUUUGAUGAUGGGAAGAUAUUGACUCCGCAGCUCUUGUUUGCCUCAAAGUCCCUGGAAAUGGAUAAAGACCAAGUUGAGCUGCUGUCAAGUGAAGUUUGGUCUUU